This 1408-nucleotide ribosomal RNA is filed under the name Bacillus sp. KP7. RNAcentral describes it as "bacterial SSU rRNA". It matches the Rfam family "Bacterial small subunit ribosomal RNA". Lineage: Bacteria; Bacillati; Bacillota; Bacilli; Caryophanales; Bacillaceae. The record is from RNAcentral.
AAGGUAACCAAGUAGAGUUUGAUCCUGGCUCAUUAAGUCGUAACAAGGUAACCAAGUAGAGUUUGAUCCUGGCGCAAACCGUCGCAACAAGGGACCCGUUCCUUGAACCGCAUGGUUCAAGGAUGAAAGACGGUUUCGGCUGUCACUUACAGAUGGACCCGCGGCGCAUUAGCUAGUUGGUGAGGUAACGGCUCACCAAGGCGACGAUGCGUAGCCGACCUGAGAGGGUGAUCGGCCACACUGGGACUGAGACACGGCCCACACUCCUACGGGAGGCAGCAGUAGGGAAUCUUCCGCAAUGGACGAAAGUCUGACGGAGCAACGCCGCGUGAGUGAUGAAGGUUUUCGGAUCGUAAAGCUCUGUUGUUAGGGAAGAACAAGUGCAAGAGUAACUGCUUGCACCUUGACGGUACCUAACCAGAAAGCCACGGCUAACUACGUGCCAGCAGCCGCGGUAAUACGUAGGUGGCAAGCGUUGUCCGGAAUUAUUGGGCGUAAAGGGCUCGCAGGCGGUUUCUUAAGUCUGAUGUGAAAGCCCCCGGCUCAACCGGGGAGGGUCAUUGGAAACUGGGAAACUUGAGUGCAGAAGAGGAGAGUGGAAUUCCACGUGUAGCGGUGAAAUGCGUAGAGAUGUGGAGGAACACCAGUGGCGAAGGCGACUCUCUGGUCUGUAACUGACGCUGAGGAGCGAAAGCGUGGGGAGCGAACAGGAUUAGAUACCCUGGUAGUCCACGCCGUAAACGAUGAGUGCUAAGUGUUAGGGGGUUUCCGCCCCUUAGUGCUGCAGCUAACGCAUUAAGCACUCCGCCUGGGGAGUACGGUCGCAAGACUGAAACUCAAAGGAAUUGACGGGGGCCCGCACAAGCGGUGGAGCAUGUGGUUUAAUUCGAAGCAACGCGAAGAACCUUACCAGGUCUUGACAUCCUCUGACAACCCUAGAGAUAGGGCUUUCCCUUCGGGGACAGAGUGACAGGUGGUGCAUGGUUGUCGUCAGCUCGUGUCGUGAGAUGUUGGGUUAAGUCCCGCAACGAGCGCAACCCUUGAUCUUAGUUGCCAGCAUUCAGUUGGGCACUCUAAGGUGACUGCCGGUGACAAACCGGAGGAAGGUGGGGAUGACGUCAAAUCAUCAUGCCCCUUAUGACCUGGGCUACACACGUGCUACAAUGGACAGAACAAAGGGCUGCGAGACCGCAAGGUUUAGCCAAUCCCACAAAUCUGUUCUCAGUGAUCAUGGCUGUGUAAGUCGUAACAAGGUAACCAAGUAGAGUUUGAUCCUGGCUCAGUAAGUUGUAACAAGGUAACCAAGUAGAGUUUGAUCCUGGCUCAGUAAGUCGUAACAAGGUAACCAAGUAGAGUUUGAUCCUGGCUCAGUAAGUCGGAACAAAGGAACCAACUUGGGUUGUCUGCG